UACAGGGGGUGCUAGCGUCGUUCGGAUUUACUGGGCGUAAAGGGCGCGCAAGCUGGACUGCAAGCCAGAAGUGAAAUCCCGGGGCUUAACUCCGGAAUUGCUUUUGGAGCUGCAGACCUAGAGUACAAUAGAGGCAAGUGGAAUUCCUAGUGUAGAGGUGAAAUUCGUAGAUAUUAGGAGGAACACCGGUGGCGAAAGCGACUUGCUGGGUUGUAACUGACGCUGAGGCGCGAAAGCGUGGGUAGCAAACAGG
Molecule: ribosomal RNA, 253 nt
Filed under: uncultured bacterium
Lineage: Bacteria
Description: partial 16S ribosomal RNA
Rfam family: Bacterial small subunit ribosomal RNA
Source: RNAcentral